GAAUAAAUAACCCAUCAUAUCAAUUCUUCCACAAUUAUAAUCCCAACCAUUAAAAUCCAAUUUAAAAGACUUAUUAAUAGCCUUAAAGUGGAAUAACCCAUCAUAUCCCUUCUUCCUAAGUUUAAGUUAACGCCGAACCAGACAACUUUUCACCUCCCUCUUUUUCACCACAUAUAUUUACAUCCUUAAAAAAAACCAGAGUAAGGGUUCAAAGAAGCUUUGUCACUAUCGAUUUCCUCUUGACUAACUUGAUUGCUGCCACAGUAAACCAGCUUCUUUCAUGGAUAUGAUACUUAAGAUGGAAACAUCUUUGAAUAGGUGAUGGAGGUGCACAUGUCGUUGCAAGGAUUUUAAAUGGAGAAAUGGAAACCAAUAAUCCCAUGUAUUUGCUUUAAGUAGGUGUUAUGUUUUAGGCUACCUAUAAAAGAAAAAAUCUAUGGAGUUGUCUAAAUUUGUAUUAGUCAAUUUUAUUUUAAGUACUUUCUUAAAAAAUAAAAGUUUAUUCUUUCCUUAUACAAGUGCCCUU
Molecule: long non-coding RNA, 526 nt
Filed under: Helianthus annuus (common sunflower)
Lineage: Eukaryota; Viridiplantae; Streptophyta; Magnoliopsida; Asterales; Asteraceae
Source: RNAcentral